Molecule: ribosomal RNA, 520 nt
Filed under: uncultured bacterium
Lineage: Bacteria
Description: bacterial SSU rRNA
Rfam family: Bacterial small subunit ribosomal RNA
Source: RNAcentral
AGAGUUUGAUUCUGGCUCAGGAUGAACGCUAGCGACAGGCUUAACACAUGCAAGUCGAGGGGCAGCACGGGAGUAGCAAUACUUGGUGGCGACCGGCGCACGGGUGAGUAACGCGUGUGCAACCUACCUAUCAGAGGGGAAUAACCCGGCGAAAGUCGGACUAAUACCGCAUAAAACAGGGGCACCGCAUGGUGAUAUUUGUUAAAGAAAUUCGCUGAUAGAUGGGCAUGCGUUCCAUUAGGUAGUUGGUGAGGUAACGGCUCACCAAGCCGACGAUGGAUAGGGGAACUGAGAGGUUGGUCCCCCACACUUUUGGUACUGAGACACGGACCAGACUCCUACGGGAGGCAGCAGUGAGGAAUAUUGGUCAAUGGGCGGGAGCCUGAACCAGCCAAGUCGCGUGAAGGAAGAAGGAUCUAUGGUUCGUAAACUUCUUUUGCAGGGGAAUAAAGUGCAGGACGUGUCCUGUUUUGUAUGUACCCUGAGAAUAAGGAUCGGCUAACUCCGUGCCAGCAGCCGC